GAUGAACGCUGGCGGCGUGCCUAAUACAUGCAAGUCGAGCGAACAGACGAGGUGCUUGCUCCUCUUACAUUAGCGGCGGACGGGUGAGUAACACGUGGGUAACCUACCUAUAAGCCUGGGAUAACUUCGGGAAACCAAAGCUAAUACCGGAUAAUAUCUUUAACCACAUGGUUCAAUAUUGAAAGACGCUUUUGCUUUCCCUUAUAAAUAUCUCCGCGUCGCAUUGGCUAUUGGGUAAGGUAACGGCUUCCAAAGGCAACGAUGCGAAGCGGACCUAAGAGGGUGACCGCCCACACUGGAACGGAGACACGGUCCAGACUCCUACGGGAGGAAGCAGUAGGGAACCUUCCGCAAUGGGCGAAAGCCGGACGGAGCAACGCCGCGUGAGUGAUGAAGGUCUCCGGAUCGUAAACUUCUGUUAUUAGGGAAGAAGAAAGGUGUAAGUAACUAUGCACGUCUUGACGGUACCUAAUCAGAAAGCCACGGCUAACUACGUG
Molecule: ribosomal RNA, 497 nt
Filed under: uncultured bacterium
Lineage: Bacteria
Description: partial 16S ribosomal RNA
Rfam family: Bacterial small subunit ribosomal RNA
Source: RNAcentral